Molecule: small nuclear RNA, 107 nt
Organism: Artibeus jamaicensis (Jamaican fruit-eating bat)
Lineage: Eukaryota; Metazoa; Chordata; Mammalia; Chiroptera; Phyllostomidae
Source: RefSeq, a predicted model, not a curated record
GUGCUCGCUUCGGCAGCACAUAUACUAAAAUUGGAACGAUACAGAGAAGAUUAGCAUGGUCCCUGCGCAAGGAUGACAUGUUGUGAUCAUCCAAAGUCCACGGUUUA